GGGGCGGGGCGGGGCGGAACAGCCUAGAAGCAGGGCCUGGAACUGCAGGAUACACUCCCCUCCUGCUACCUAGGCAGGCGUGAGGGUGUGACGGCCGCGCAUUCGCCAGACGAGAGCGAUGGCUGAGAACGCCGCACCAGGUCUGAUCUCAGAGCUGAAGCUGGCUGUGCCCUGGGGCCACAUCGCAGCCAAAGCCUGGGGCUCCCUGCAGGGCCCUCCAGUUCUCUGCCUGCACGGCUGGCUGGACAAUGCCAGCUCCUUCGACAGACUCAUCCCUCUUCUCCCGCAAGACUUUUAUUACGUUGCCAUGGAUUUCGGAGGUCAUGGGCUCUCGUCCCAUUACAGCCCAGGUGUCCCAUAUUACCUCCAGACUUUUGUGAGUGAGAUCCGAAGAGUUGUGGCAGCCUUGAAAUGGAAUCGAUUCUCCAUUCUGGGCCACAGCUUCGGUGGCGUCGUGGGCGGAAUGUUUUUCUGUACCUUCCCCGAGAUGGUGGAUAAACUUAUCUUGCUGGACACGCCGCUCUUUCUCCUGGAAUCAGAUGAAAUGGAGAACUUGCUGACCUACAAGCGGAGAGCCAUAGAGCACGUGCUGCAGGUAGAGGCCUCCCAGGAGCCCUCGCACGUGUUCAGCCUGAAGCAGCUGCUGCAGAGGCAGAGAACAGCAUUGACUUCGUCAGCAGGGAGCUGUGUGCGCAUUCCAUCAGGAAGCUGCAGGCCCAUGUCCUGUUGAUCAAAGCAGUCCACGGAUAUUUUGAUCCAAGAGAGAAUUACUCUGACAAGGAGUCCCUGUCGUUCAUGAUAGACACAAUGAAAUCCACCCUCAAAGAGGACUACUUCGGAUACAAUCACAGCAACCCUGGCCUCGGCCCUGCCCUGUCCCUGCCAUGCAACUUCACAACUCAGCUGGCCUAGACCCCUGGGAGGCCUCCAAGUCCCUAAGCGGUUCCAGUUUGUGGAAGUCCCAGGCAAUCACUGUGUCCACAUGAGCGAACCCCAGCACGUGGCCAGUAUCAUCAGCUCCUUCUUACAGUGCACACACACGCUCCCAGCCCAGCUGUAGCUCUGGGCCUGGAACUAUGAAGACCUAGUGCUCCCAGACUCAACACUGGGACUCUGAGUUCCUGAGCCCCACAACAAGGCCAGGGAUGGUGGGGACAGGCCUCACUAGUCUUGAGGCCCAGCCUAGGAUGGUAGUCAGGGGAAGGAGCGAGAUUCCAACUUCAACAUCUGUGACCUCAAGGGGGAGACAGAGUCUGGGUUCCAGGGCUGCUGUCUCCUGGCUAAUAAUCUCCAGCCAGCUGGAGGAAGGAAGGGCGGGCUGGGCCCACCUAGCCUUUCCCUGCUGCCCAACUGGAUGGAAAAUAAAAGGUUCUUGUAUUCUCACU
Homo sapiens (human) is the source of this 1385-nucleotide long non-coding RNA. Ensembl annotates it as serine hydrolase like (pseudogene). Its record names the gene SERHL. Lineage: Eukaryota; Metazoa; Chordata; Mammalia; Primates; Hominidae. The record is from Ensembl.